UCCUCCUUAAAGUUUGAUCAUGGCUCAGAUUGAACGCUGGCGGCAGGCCUAACACAUGCAAGUCGAACGGUAACAGGAAGCAGCUUGCUGCUUCGCUGACGAGUGGCGGACGGGUGAGUAAUGUCUGGGAAACUGCCUGAUGGAGGGGGAUAACUACUGGAAACGGUAGCUAAUACCGCAUAACGUCGCAAGACCAAAGAGGGGGACCUUCGGGCCUCUUGCCAUCGGAUGUGCCCAGAUGGGAUUAGCUAGUAGGUGGGGUAACGGCUCACCUAGGCGACGAUCCCUAGCUGGUCUGAGAGGAUGACCAGCCACACUGGAACUGAGACACGGUCCAGACUCCUACGGGAGGCAGCAGUGGGGAAUAUUGCACAAUGGGCGCAAGCCUGAUGCAGCCAUGCCGCGUAGUAUGAAGAAGGCCUUCGGGUUGUAAAGUACUUUCAGCGGGGAGGAAGGCGAUAAGGUUAAUAACCUUGUCGAUUGACGUUACCCGCAGAAGAAGCACCGGCU
This 510-nucleotide ribosomal RNA is filed under the name uncultured bacterium. Its description in RNAcentral is "bacterial SSU rRNA". It matches the Rfam family "Bacterial small subunit ribosomal RNA", at positions 1 to 498 of the family's 1533-position model. The record is from RNAcentral.